CUCCUCUCUCUCUCUGUCUCUCUCUCCUGUGAUCUAGUGCCUCAGACAACAUUGUGGAAUGCACAAGGAGAAUAUAAUCCACAUCCCAUUCAGGUAGUGAUCAGAUUGUCAUGCCAGACUAGUGGGAGUCAGUAUGCGACCCAAAUUGCACCCUAUUCCCUACAUAGUGCACUACGUUUGACCAGACCCCAAUGGGCCCAGUAACACAAACACUGUCAGCUCAUCUGGCCCUGUAACGCAAUCACUGUCAGCUCAUCUGGUCCCUGUAACGCAGUCACUGUCAGCUCAUCUGGGCCCUGUAACGCAAUCACUGUCAGCUCAUCUGGGCCCUGUAACGCAAUCACUGUCAGCUCAUCUGGGCCCUGUAACGCAAACACUGUCAGCUCAUCUGGGCCCUGUAACGCAAUCACUGUCAGCUCAUCUGGGCCCUGUAACGCAAACACUGUCAGCUCAUCUGGGCCCUGUAACGCAAUCACUGUCAGCUCAUCUGGGCCCUGUAACGCAGUCACUGUCAGCUCAUCUGGGCCCUGUAACGCAAACACUGUCAGCUCAUCUGGGCCCUGUAACGCAGUCACUGUCAGCUCAUCUGGGCCCUGUACCGCAGUCACUGUCAGCUCAUCUGGGCCCUGUAACGCAAACACUGUCAGCUCAUCUGGGCCCUGUAACGCAAUCACUGUCAGCUCAUCUGGGCCCUGUAACGCAAUCACUGUCAGCUCAUCUGGGCCCAGGUAGAGAUGAGUAAAUACAACUUGUGGAGUGAGGGACUGAAAUAAUGUGUUGCUCUGUAGUCAAUGUAAUUAGAUGUUUAUCUGGAGUUAAUUUAAUUAGAUGUUUAUCUCAAGUGAAUUUAUACCUGAAUCAUCUACAGGGAGAGAGGGAGGAGGGGACAGGUGGAGAGAGAGAUGGAUGGAUGAGCAGGGAGAGAGGGAUAGAGAUAGGGAUGGUUGGAGGUGGAGAGAGGGAAGUAGAGAGACUGAUGGAGGGAGGGGUGUAUGAGCAGGGAGAGCCGGGUAGAGAUAGGGAUGGAUGGAGGUGGAGAGAGGGGGGUAGAGAGACUGAUGGAGGGAGGGGUGUAUGAGCAGGGAGAGCCGGGUAGAUAUAGGGAUGGAUGGAGGUGGAGAGAGGGAAGUAGAUAGACUGAUGGAGGGAGGGGUGUAUAGAUGUAUGAGCAGGGAGACAGCGUAGAGAUAGGGAUGAUAGAGGUGGAGAGAGGGGGGUAGAGAGACUGAUGGAGGGAGGGGUGUAUGAGCAGGGAGAGCCGGGUAGAGAUAGGGAUGGAUAGAGGUGGAGAGAGGGAGGUAGAGAGACUGAUGGAGGGAGGGGUGUAUAGAUGUAUGAGCAGGGAGAGCCGGGUAGAGAUAGGGAUGGAUGGAGGUGGAGAGAGGGGGGUAGAGAGACUGACGGAGGGAGGGGUGUAUAGAUGUAUGAGCAGGGAGAGCCGGGUAGAGAUAGGGAUGGAUGGAGGUGGAGAGAGGGGGGUAGAGAGACUGACGGAGGGAGGGGUGUAUAGAUGUAUGAGCAGGGAGAGCCGGGUAGAGAUAGGGAUGGAUGGAGGUGGAGAGAGGGGGGUAGAGAGACUGAUGGAGGGAGGGGUGUAUAGAUGUAUGAGCAGGGAGAGCCGGGUAGAGAUAGGGAUGGAUGGAGGUGGAGAGAGGGGGGUAGAGAGACUGACGGAGGGAGGGGUGUAUAGAUGUAUGAGCAGGGAGAGCCGGGUAGAGAUAGGGAUGGAUGGAGGUGGAGAGAGGGGGGUAGAGAGACUGACGGAGGGAGGGGUGUAUUCUCCUGUGUGUGUUUGGCCCCCUACCUCUUCCUUGGUGACCUAGUGAGUUAUGGUUUUCUGGGCAGGACCACUGGGGCUUUUGCUAUGGGCCAUCUUUAACUACCUGCUCUGUCAUAGUAUGGAGGCCAGGUACUGUAAGUGUUCAUGUUUAUGGGAUGUGAUGGAGGCCAGGUACUGUAAGUGUUCAUGUUUAUGGGAUGUGAUGGAGGCC
Molecule: long non-coding RNA, 1991 nt
Filed under: Salmo salar (Atlantic salmon)
Lineage: Eukaryota; Metazoa; Chordata; Actinopteri; Salmoniformes; Salmonidae
Description: lncRNA (ENSSSAG00000098445.1)
Source: RNAcentral